Molecule: ribosomal RNA, 837 nt
Filed under: uncultured Bacteroidota bacterium
Lineage: Bacteria; Pseudomonadati; Bacteroidota
Description: bacterial SSU rRNA
Rfam family: Bacterial small subunit ribosomal RNA
Source: RNAcentral
AGAGUUUGAUCAUGGCUCAGGAUGAACGCUAGCGGCAGGCUUAAUACAUGCAAGUCGAGGGGCAGCACAGGGUAGCAAUACCUGGGUGGCGACCGGCAAACGGGUGCGGAACACGUACAGAACCUUCCUUCGAGCGGGGAAUAGCCCAGAGAAAUUUGGAUUAAUACCCCAUAGUAUAACGAUGUGGCAUCAUGUUGUUAUUAAAGAUUUAUCACUUGAAGAUGGCUGUGCGUAUGAUUAGGUAGUUGGCGGGGUAACGGCCCACCAAGCCUGCGAUCAUUAACUGGUGUGAGAGCACGACCAGUCACACGGGCACUGAGACACGGGCCCGACUCCUACGGGAGGCAGCAGUAAGGAAUAUUGGUCAAUGGACGCAAGUCUGAACCAGCCAUGCCGCGUGGAGGAUGAAGGUCCUCUGGAUUGUAAACUUCUUUUAUCUGGGACGAAAAAAGGGAAUUCUUUCUCGUCUGACGGUACCAGAUGAAUAAGCACCGGCUAACUCCGUGCCAGCAGCCGCGGUAAUACGGAGGGUGCAAGCGUUAUCCGGAUUCACUGGGUUUAAAGGGUGCGUAGGCGGGUAUGUAAGUCCGUGGUGAAAUCUCCGAGCUUAACUCGGAAACUGCCGUGGGUACUGCGUAUCUUGAAUGUUGUGGAGGUGAGCGGAAUAUGUCAUGUAGCGGUGAAAUGCUUAGAUAUGACAUAGAACACCAAAUGCGAAGGCAGCUCACUACACAAAUAUUGACGCUGAGGCACGAAAGCGUGGGGAUCAAACAGGAUUAGAUACCCUGGUAGUCCACGCCCUAAACGAUGAUUACUCGACAUACGUGAUACACAAUG